RNAcentral lists this ribosomal RNA (251 nucleotides) under uncultured bacterium. Its description in RNAcentral is "partial 16S ribosomal RNA". It matches the Rfam family "Bacterial small subunit ribosomal RNA", at positions 524 to 776 of the family's 1533-position model. The record is from RNAcentral.
GACGGGGGGGGCAAGUGUUCUUCGGAAUGACUGGGCGUAAAGGGCACGUAGGCGGUGAAUCGGGUUGAAGGUGAAAGUCGCCAAAAAGUGGCGGAAUGCUCUCGAAACCAAUUCACUUGAGUGAGACAGAGGAGAGUGGAAUUUCGUGUGUAGGGGUGAAAUCCGUAAAUAUACGAAGGAACGCCAAAAGCGAAGGCAGCUCUCUGGGUCCCUACUGACGCUGAGGUGCGAAAGCGUGGGGAGCAAACAGG